UACGGAAGGGGCAAGCGUUGUUCGGAAUCAUUGGGCGUAAAGGGCGCGUAGGUGGUUCUGUAUGUCUACCGUGAAAGCGUACGGCUCAACUGUAUUUUGUCGGUGGAAACUGCAGGACUUUGAGGCUGGGAGGGGCUGGUGGAAUUCCCUGUGUAGCGGUGAAAUGCGUAGAGAUGGGGGAGAACACUCGUGGCGAAGGCGGCCAGCUAGACCAGUUCUGACACUGAGGCGCGACAGCGUGGGGAGCAAACAGG
RNAcentral lists this ribosomal RNA (254 nucleotides) under uncultured bacterium. Its description in RNAcentral is "partial 16S ribosomal RNA". It matches the Rfam family "Bacterial small subunit ribosomal RNA", at positions 524 to 776 of the family's 1533-position model. The record is from RNAcentral.